Oncorhynchus tshawytscha (Chinook salmon) is the source of this 284-nucleotide long non-coding RNA. RefSeq lists it as uncharacterized. The transcript is spliced from 6 exons. NCBI's taxonomy places the organism in Eukaryota, Metazoa, Chordata, Actinopteri, Salmoniformes, Salmonidae. The record is from RefSeq and is a predicted model, not a curated record.
GGUCUGCUUUUGCUGACAGUUCUCUGUGCAUUCUUCGAGGAAACUGAAGCAAAUCCAUUUGUUUACAGUAAGUAGCUCAUUCCUCUACACUCAUUCAAAGGGAACUGAUAAAUCACCACCAACAAACAAAAUUAACGUAGUGACUAUGAGAGACUACGAAUUGGAGGCCUGAUCAUUGCAGGCUUGCUUGUAGUAGGUGGCUUGUUUGUCCUACUUAAUCCCAAAUGCACUAGAAAAAACAAAAAAUCUGAAGAUGACACAAGUGAACUCUAAGCAUCUCUAAA